UACGUAGGGUGCAAGCGUUUGUCCGGAAUUAUUGGGCGUAAAGAGCUCGUAGGCGGUUUGUCGCGUCGAAUGUGAAAACCCGGGGCUCAACCCCGGGCCUGCAUUCGAUACGGGCAGACUAGAGUUCGGUAGGGGAGUCUGGAAUUCCUGGUGUAGCGGUGAAAUGCGCAGAUAUCAGGAGGAACACCGGUGGCGAAGGCGGGUCUCUGGGCCGAUACUGACGCUGAGGAGCGAAAGCAUGGGUAGCGAACAGG
Molecule: ribosomal RNA, 254 nt
Filed under: uncultured bacterium
Lineage: Bacteria
Description: partial 16S ribosomal RNA
Rfam family: Bacterial small subunit ribosomal RNA
Source: RNAcentral